GCUAAGGCACAAAAGGGAUCGGGGAAGACCGUGAGAGAAAUAGAAAAACGGCGCAUAACUCCCAUCUCCAAUUCUCUGAAGAACAGAAGAAAAAAAAAAGAAAACCUUCCCUCUUUACAAUCAGAAAAUCCCUUCUCAAGCAAAAGCCAGACGCAUCCCCUCCCUCAAAUCUUUGAAAACAAAAAAAAAAGUAAAGAAAAGGAACCACGAAGAAUGUAAAUCUGGUCCGAUUACUGCUGCAGUACAUAUACAUCUCAUGGGUGUUCGAUUUUAACUUUGAUUUCAGAAGUCGAAGCUAUUUGUUGUUGUUUCCCCUUCAAUUAGCAGUUGAACACCAAUUUGAAGUUAUUUUAGGCCUUAUUUGGCUAUUCUAAAGUCUUACUACUGUUGUCCAGGUAUUAAUCACUUUUCUGAUUAUGUAUUUAUCAUUCGAAUCAUAUGACAACAUGUUCAUUUUGGACUGAAAGUAUGUGAAGUGUGAAUCAUGUUCUUACAUGCUAAGUUUAAUGAUUUUUUUUGUUUGCUGACUUACAUAUCCUGAUUGUUAAGCAUGAGUUUUAAUUAAAAUGAAAUUGUGAUCCUUAUGUUUGAUAAAAAGUUGUGUAGUAAUGGGUGAUGAGAAGAGUUUUGUUAUUGUCUUGUAUAGUUGUGACUUACAGAUUUAGCCAUUAAUUGGUCGGGCUGUUAAAUUUGAAGCCAAAAGUCGGAUUGAAUGAACUAUGGGAUUGACAGAUUUGAAUUAAGAGUCGAGUAUCUUCUGUUUAUGUUUGGAUAUCAUUAUAAAUGAACUGUAAUUACAGUAGAAUUACUUAUUCCUCCUUGAUUUCAUUAAGGAUUGUAAUUAAAAGGCUUGAUGUGAACUCUGCAAUAGUGCGGUUGAUUGUUGGAAGAGGCUGUCAACAAAGAUUUCUCGGAGAACAAGUAUAAUUACAGUGACAUAUACUUGCAUCACUUGAUAAUCUUAGUCAUGGAUCUUUAUUUUAAAAUGAGAUAUUCAAGCAUCUUUACAAUAAGUUGAAGUGAAAAUCGAUUUUAUGUGAAUUAGAAUUCCCAUGUAUGUGCUUCUUGUUCUCCAUAUGGUAAAGCAAUCUUCAUUCUGGCUUUAGUACUUCUUGGCAAAGUGAGGACUUGGUAGUUCUUUAUUUCCAAAAUAUAUAAUUCCUUAAUCUCAAUUGUUCAGUGCUUUUCUUCUAGUCGGAC
This 1200-nucleotide long non-coding RNA is filed under the name Nicotiana tabacum (common tobacco). Its description in RNAcentral is "long non-coding RNA (NTAB_LNC004708)". Lineage: Eukaryota; Viridiplantae; Streptophyta; Magnoliopsida; Solanales; Solanaceae. The record is from RNAcentral.